Long non-coding RNA from Gallus gallus (chicken), 1872 nucleotides. RefSeq lists it as uncharacterized. The record is from RefSeq and is a predicted model, not a curated record. The transcript is spliced from 5 exons. Lineage: Eukaryota; Metazoa; Chordata; Aves; Galliformes; Phasianidae.
CACAGGGUUCUAGAAUACUCCCAAUUCCUGUUGAGGCACUACCUACCGAGGCGUUUCUCCUGUGGCAGAGUUCAGACAGGCUGGCUGAUCUGGAGUGACACGUGCUGUAUCCUGCCGGGAAAGCACAGCAGAGCUAGGCGAGCCCAUCUCCAUCGAUCAACUACAUGAAGAAUUAGUUACCAGCUACCUGACAGUUUCGACUGCUGACUUGCAUAGCUUGAUGUUCUGGAAUGUCCGCACGCACCAAUUUCAUCAGGGACUGAGGCACUCUUUGAUGAAGCAUCUGCAAAACAUGCCAGUCAGAUUGGACAAAGAGAAUAAACAGGACUUAUAAGUGGUACAGCUGGACAAAGAAGUUCCUACAGAGAACCACCUGAGCUCACCUGGUACAGGCUCUAUUCCCAGAUGCCCUAAGAAACAACGGGGAAAAAACAUUAUGUUGGAUCUCCAUGCCUCAGGUCCAACCAGUAAUUAUGCUGAAGAUAUUACCUCAAGAUUACAGUAGACGACACUGAAAAACAGAAGCAAGACCAGAGAGUGGGAAAUGAGGGUAUGGAGUUGCGAACAAUAGGGAUGAACCAGGAGGAGAAGUUGGAAGAGCUUGAUUUCUACAACCUAAAGAAGAGAUGGAAAACAAUUUAAUUCCUGCCUUCAGCCAUUUCUAUUAAAUUAUAAAGAAGACAGAGCCAGACCUUUCUCAACAGGGAGCAGGGAAAGUACAAGAGACAAUAACAGGGGUGAAGCACAGGGGCAGAUUCCUUACAAAAACCUGGAACUCCAUUCUUUAACAGAUGCUUGUCACAUACCUAUUUCCAGGAACUUUCUCCUGCAGAGUUAGCUGUUGCUGUAUCUCUUACCAGUACUUACAGUAAGAAGUCUCACAAUAAUGAGCCAUUUCCACCUGUAUUUUAACACAUUACUUCUCAUGCAAAAUGCCAUCUAGACAACCAUUUUCUUACCUACUAUGAGGCCUGAAGAUCAUUUUUUCCUACUAUUGACUUGUCUCACAGCUUUUGAAAAUCUAUUUUAUUGCAGUUUCCCCAUCAGCAAAUCAAGUUGCAGUUGAAACACUAUUAAAACUAGCACAACCCAUUACUGAGUCUGAAGACAGGGCACAGAAUUCUUAUGUUUUGCAGUAAGAUGAGAGGGAGGGACAGCAGCCCCAUGUGACAGGUAUGUCAUUUUAACAAGUAUGUUUGUUUUGGAAACUGUUUAAUCUGUGUUACUAUCAGGAGAAAUACUCCCUUUCAAAAGCAAUAGCAGCAGGAAGAGAAACAAUUAUUAGAAAGCAAUUUGAAGAGCCUACUGGGGCAGAAAAUGUGCUUGCCACAGCCACACAACACAAACGUAGUUACAGUCAGCUGGCAGAGAGGCAGCCAAGCAUCAGUUGAAACAAGUAAUACCUACUGUCCAGAAGAUACCCAAUUGUACAGAAGAAAAUGACUUUUCUACCUAGUACCUCAGAAAUAAUAUAAUUACACACAACACAGGAGCUCUGCAGCUACCUCACAACUCAGAAUCUUGUCAUACACAAACUUCCCUGCAAUCUUCAGGAAAAGAAAACUUCUGGAUAAAAAAAAUUAAUUUUCAACACAUCCCCAUCUCUAUCAGUAUUUUUGUCACACACAGAUAUUCACUGAAACCUGUACCCUAGAAUACUAGGGUUUCCUGUUCAAAAUAUUCAUAGGUGUAAUUUCUGCCCUGGGACAAUCCACUGUUCUUCCAUGGUGCACAGUGUGUACAUGCUAUUUUGUGAACAGCAUAUAUGUAUGUGGUAUUUGGGCAUCUGCAGAAGUAUCCAGCUUCAGAGAAAGAGAUCUAUUACCACUGGCCAAGAAAAAAAUAAAAAACAGAUACCUUUCUGCAUAUGAA